GUUAGAACAGAAUAUCAUCGAGUUAAAGGAGAAACAAAAUGAAGAAAUGAAUAUGAUGAAACGAAAUCAAGAGAUGAUGCAAUCGGAAUUGUUCCAAAUGAGACAAAUUAUGAGAAAAUAUGCUCCUAAUAAAUUGAUGUCUCAAAAUAUCAAUGACACCUCAAGUGAACAGGUCCCAAACAGUAUUGGACAUGAAUGAGUAGCACAGACAACAAGGAUACCUGGUGAUAUAGAAAAUACACCAUCUUCUCACUGUACUGCUCUUCUAUAUCAUCAACAGUACUAUUUGAGUUUUACUUUGAUUUUUUUUUAUUAUGUUUAUUCUCAUUGUUCUAAUAAUCUAUUUCAACUAGUAUAUUUUAGUUUUUCCAUUGGAUCCUAUUCUCACAGUUCGAAUAUACUACAAGCAUUAUUCAACA
Capsicum annuum is the source of this 419-nucleotide long non-coding RNA. RefSeq lists it as uncharacterized. The transcript has 2 exons. The record is from RefSeq and is a predicted model, not a curated record. Lineage: Eukaryota; Viridiplantae; Streptophyta; Magnoliopsida; Solanales; Solanaceae.